RNAcentral lists this ribosomal RNA (86 nucleotides) under Chinchilla lanigera (long-tailed chinchilla). Lineage: Eukaryota; Metazoa; Chordata; Mammalia; Rodentia; Chinchillidae. The record is from RNAcentral.
AUCUAUGGUCAUACCACCUGCACAUGCCCGAUCUCGUCUGAUCUCGGAGGUAAGCAGGGUCAGGGCUGUUAGUUAGCACUUGGAUA